AGGAUUAACGCUGGCGGCGUGCCUAACACAUGCAAGUCGAACGAGGUAGCAAUACCUAGUGGCAGACGGGUGAGUAACGCGUGGUCAACCUACCGUUGAGUGGGGGAUAACUAGCCGAAAGGUUAGCUAAUACCGCAUACGUGUCCGAGGGGCAUCCCUUGGCCAUAAAAGGAGCAAUCCGCUCGAUGACGGGACCGCGUCCCAUUAGCUAGAUGGUGGGGUAACGGCCUACCAUGGCACCGAUGGGUAGCUGGUUUGAGAGAGCGACCAGCCACACUGGGACUGAGAAACGGCCCAGACUCCUACGGGAGGCAGCAGUGAGGAAUUUUCCGCAAUGGGCGCAAGCCUGACGGAGCGACGCCGCGUGUGGGAAGAAGGCCUUCGGGUCGUAAACCACUGUCGAAGGGAAGAUAAUGACGGUACCCUUGGAGGAAGCCCCGGCUAACUACGUGCCAGCAGCCGC
This 463-nucleotide ribosomal RNA is filed under the name uncultured bacterium. RNAcentral describes it as "SSU rRNA". It matches the Rfam family "Bacterial small subunit ribosomal RNA", at positions 26 to 518 of the family's 1533-position model. The record is from RNAcentral.